This is a long non-coding RNA of Leptidea sinapis, 1824 nucleotides long. RefSeq lists it as uncharacterized. The transcript is spliced from 2 exons. Lineage: Eukaryota; Metazoa; Arthropoda; Insecta; Lepidoptera; Pieridae. The record is from RefSeq and is a predicted model, not a curated record.
AAAUUUUUAACAAAAAAACAACCGACUUCAAUAACACUUUUCCAAAACAAUAGAUAUGCGCUAAAUGUAUAAAAAUAAUUACGCAUUUUUAUACAAUCUAAUUCUAGUUACGAUUAUUGUAAUUUUUGGAAUCGGGGUCCUUCCGCCGCGAUUGAAUUUGAAGUACACUAACAACUUGCCUAAAUAUGUGCAGAUAACCUAAAUUUUUCAUUGCAGCAAUGAACGUAAGCGCUUAAUUGAAGAGUUCCGUUACUUUGCGAUGGAUUCCAUAAUCAGAACCUAACCAAACUAUCUUUGAAGUAUAUCCUUUCCAAUCAAAAAAGAUUCAUCGAAAUCGGUUGUCGCGAUAUUGAGGUAUUCGUAAAUUUAUCAUUCAAUUUGCUAUACGUAUGUAUAGCAUAUUUUAAAACUUCUUGAUUUUUCUCAUGGAUGCCAUUGUCAGAUCUGGACCAAAUUACAAUUACUGGGAUCACACGGAAAGUACCAGCUUUCAAAUAAAAAAAGAAUUAUAAAAAUCGGUUCACCCAGUCCAAAGUUUUGAGGUAACAUACUUAAAAAAAAUACCGACGAAUCGAGAACCCCCUCUUUUUUGAAGUUGGUUAAAAAGGCGUGUUACUUUGUUGAAGGCCGGUUAUUCUUGAAAUAUCUCUAGUGUUGAUAUAAAGUAUGCAAAAGGGGCACCAUUGUUUACCUUACCGUAUUUUGGAAGCAAGUUUUGGAAUAGGUAGACGUAUAUAAACAUCACACGAAGUUGCGAAAUCAAUUUAAUUUGGUUUAAGUAACCACAAUCGCGUUUUACUAUACACUGCAACUACUACUACUAUCUUGCUGUAACGGUUUGUGUUCAUGUCGCUUUCGCGGUGGAUGUUUAGAUUUAUGCUCAUGUCGAGGUAUCAAUCCAGGUGGAUGAUUAGAUUUAUGCUCAUGUCGAGGUAUCAAUCCAGGUGGAUGAUUAGAUUUAUGCUCAUGUCGAGGUAUCAAUCCAGGUGGAUGAUUAGAUUUAUGCUCAUGUCGAGGUAUCAAUCCAGGUGGAUGUUGCGAUCUUUUCUCAGGCAAAGGCCAUAAUCCAGAUGGAUGUUGUGAUCCUCCGUGCUCAUGCCGAGCUAUCAAUCCAGGUGGAUGUUGUGAUUCAUUCUCAUAAUAAGGUACGAUACCAGGUGGAUGUGGAGGCCACAAUCCAGGUGGAUAUGGAGGAAUCACUCCAGGUGGAUGUGGAGGCCACAAUCCAGGUGGAUGAUCUGUAGGCCACAAUCCAGGUGGAUGUGGAGGCAACAAUCCAGGUGGAUGUUGAGGUAACAAUCCAGUGUGAUAUUGGUCUCCAUUCUCAGUCAGAGGAUACAGUUCAGAUGGAUCUUGAGGAAUCAGUCCGGGUGGAUGUUCAGGCAACAAUCCAGGUGGAUGUGGAGGCCACAAUCCAGGUGGAUAUGGAGGCACCACUCCAGGUGGAUGUGGAGGCCACAAUCCAGGUGGAUGAUGUGGAGGCCAAAAUCCAGGUGGAUGUGGAGGCAACAAUCCAGGUGGAUGGUGCGGCAUAGGUCCAAAAAGCUUUUUCAUUUCGUGCUUAGUAUAGUCAGCGUAUUUAUUAAUAACAAAUGCCUCCGGUUCCUGCUGGUUCAACGUUAUAAUCUUUUUCAAGUUUCUCACAAAAGCAUUGUAGUGUAUAUUUUUGUCAUCCUCACUGUCAUAUUGCCUUUCGUAAUCCUUCUGGAAUUUCUCGAACAGUAUCUGUGCGUCACGAAUAUCAUACUUCGGUUUAUUAAUAUCUUUAGUGCACGCCAACCCCACCAACAGGAGCAAUACGCCAAGUGUACAUCGCAACAUUGU